Molecule: ribosomal RNA, 254 nt
Filed under: uncultured bacterium
Lineage: Bacteria
Description: partial 16S ribosomal RNA
Rfam family: Bacterial small subunit ribosomal RNA
Source: RNAcentral
UACGUAGGGUGCGAGCGUUAAUCGGAAUUACUGGGCGUAAAGCGUGCGCAGGCGGUUCGUUAAGUCAGAUGUGAAAGCCCCGAGCUCAACUUGGGAACUGCAUUUGAAACUGGCGGGCUGGAGUGUGGCAGAGGGGGGUGGAAUUCCACGGUGUAGCAGUGAAAUGCGUAGAGAUGUGGAGGAACACCAGUGGCGAAGGCGGCUCACUGGCCCGGUACUGACGCUGAGGCGCGAAAGCGUGGGGAGCAAACAGG